Molecule: ribosomal RNA, 446 nt
Filed under: uncultured prokaryote
Description: bacterial SSU rRNA
Rfam family: Bacterial small subunit ribosomal RNA
Source: RNAcentral
UCGAGAAUCUUCCGCAAUGGGCGCAAGCCUGACGGAGCGACGCCGCGUGCGGGAUGAAGGCCUUCGGGUUGUAAACCGCUGUCAGAGGGGAUGAAAUCGUUGGGGGCUAUCCCCCUUCGUUGACAGAGCCUCAGAGGAAGCGCGGGCUAAGUUCGUGCCAGCAGCCGCGGUAAUACGAACUGCGCGAACGUUACUCGGAAUCACUGGGCUUAAAGGGUGCGUAGGCGGCUACGCAAGUCGGGUGUGAAAUCUUCCGGCCCAACCGGAAAACUGCGCCCGAAACUGCAUAGCUUGAGUGCGAUAGGGGUGUGCGGAACUUCCAGUGGAGCGGUGAAAUGUGUUGAUAUUGGAAGGAACGCCGGUGGCGAAAGCGGCACACUGGGUCGCAACUGACGCUGAGGCACGAAAGCCAGGGGAGCGAACGGGAUUAGAUACCCCCGUAGUCC